UAGCACAUUCAUACGUGGCUUCUGCCACAACAGGUCAAUAAAGAUUUAUUUACCAGGCCUGCAGCACAAAAUGUUGGCUGGACUCUGCUGGGAAUCUGCAGAAAAAUGCAGUAAACAGCAAUAGACACUUUGGUGCUUCUCCUUUUGCUGAAAGCAAAGCCUCCAACGGUGGCUAUAAAUCUUUUGCUGCCACUUGCAGAGGGUAUUUACUAAUUACAGCAUCAGCAUGUCUUGUGCCAGUUGUAGGUCAUUGGGAUAGCCUAGAAAAGGAACAGAAAUAGUUUUGCAAUGAAGGCAGGCUCAAAGAACGAAUGUCUCAGCACUGACAUUGCUCUGGCAGCAGCACUAGGAAACUAAGGAUCACAAUGCAGAGAACAAGGAUGUUAAUUCUGCCUAAAUAACAGACCGCGUUUCCUCUACCCGGCUGUUCUGAGGAGCUAAUUACACACAUUCCCGAAUCAAAGAAAUAUAAAACAGUCUGCAAAUGAUUGCAAUGUUGAUGUGUUGGCAGUCCAAACCAUGACAUAUGGUCCUUCAGUUUGCCAUCCUAGAGAACAGGCUCACGAGCAACCCUCAAAACGCAAAAUUGUGUCGUAAAUGAAAGAAAGAGGCUGACUCUAGAAAUGAGCUUGAGGUGACCUCCCUCCUCAGCCCCACAAGAGACAGUCAGCGUUUCACAGAGCUGCUGCCAACCUGGUCACAGGUCCCCAAAUGUACCUCCUGUGAGGGGGAAGGAAGGUGAAUCAUAUCCAGGCAGGAUCGUGGCUCGGUCAAUACCCACACACAAACUUUGCAAAGCAAAGAUUUCGUCACCAACACCGGCUGGACACGUGUGUGCCACCAGCCCCUCUCUGGGACCGCUCUGCAGCUGUGUGCCAGCCCCUGAGCCACGCAGCAGCAGGAUCCAGACCUCCAGCUUCAUCCCUGGACCCCCAUCACGGAGCUGGUGGAGUGAGGGAUGCCUGCAGACACCAGGAGGGGAGCGGGGUGAGGCAUGAGCACGCCGAGGGCUUUCACACGCCUUCACCCACAGCAGUCGGCGCGCGUUCGUCACGCCGGGCCCAGCCAAGGAGUUCCAACGUUAAGUGGCCUCUGAAAUGAUGCAAACAAGAUCUGGUUGCUCACUGCCUGUGAAUGACCCUGCUGCUGUGCAGCUCCAUCAGCUCUGUGCAGAGCUCAUUUCUGCUGAGCAAUCACAGCUCAGUGCCUGGAAACCCAGAGAUCAUCAAUUUCCAGAACUGCAAAGGUGAGCUUCCUCCAGGAGAUCCACAACUCCUGCAACUGUCAAAUUAGUGGAGUUGUGCUGGGGUAAAAGUGAUGCAAAUGAGGAGAACACUUACUUGGCAAUUUAUGUGCUGUAUCAGGAAAAUGUUAUCACCUCUAACAUAGCAGGGAGAUUCUGUAUUUACUGACACCUUUGCACACAACAGUGAUUUUGAUGAAAUCCUUGGGUAAUGAUUACAUCAGGAAAGUUGCACCACUGAAAAAAAUUACAGCGUUUUCCACCUGUGCUACACAUUAGAUACCAGUGCUGAUGCCUUCCAUGGGGUUAUCCCUGUGUAGAAGAGAAGCAGGAGAGCUCAGAUUUCUGUGUUUCAUCAGGUGAAGCUGGGAGCCACAGCCAGAAGAGCUGGUGAGAGAGAAAGGGAAAAAGCUGCUUAUACCUGAUGUGCUCACAGAAAGAACAGGGUUUGACCAACAGAAGCAACAGGAAAAUGACUUCUCCAUCUCCAGACGUGCAUCAUGUCUAUAACUCACUGACAAUGGUGGAUUUUAACAGGAAGGAGAAGAAUAAAAGCAAGAAUAAACACUUGAACAAGAUAAUCUGAGUUUGUAUACAGCAACCUUUGCAAUACAACUGCUUUUUCCUUAAAGAAAGAUUUUUCUUUAAAUCUUUAGACCAAGGUGCCCCCAUGAGAGCUAGUGCCCCUUUUGACCAAAACUGAAGUGUUGCUGUGAUAAGGAUUAGCCUUAUCAGCCUGGAGACUGUGGAAGAAAGUGCACCAGGCUCAGGGUAGGGGAGGGUGCUGGAAGAGUUUGCAAACAUCUGGGACAUCUGGGCUGCUGAGUCACAUGUGCAGAGAGAGCCUGUGCUGCAGGCAAUGGCCAGAUGGCAAAAGAACACAAGAAAAGCUGUGCCCCAUGUGCCUCUCAUACAGGACAUGGCAUUUGAGAGUGCAGUACAGGAAAUCUGUGUGGAAAGGGGUGGCUGAGUGACUUAACCCUGAUUGAUGGGGAAGGGGUGUCCAAACAGCAGAGGAGUGUGGCUCCCAUGCAGGAUGAAGCACCAGCAGUGAAUCCCACCCACG
Long non-coding RNA from Taeniopygia guttata (zebra finch), 2309 nucleotides. The record is from Ensembl. NCBI's taxonomy places the organism in Eukaryota, Metazoa, Chordata, Aves, Passeriformes, Estrildidae.